GUGUCAGCCGCCGCGGUAAGACGUAGGGGGCAAGCGUUGCUCGGAAUCACUGGGCUUAAAGGGCGCGUAGGCGGUUGUGUAAGUCCAGGGUUGAAGGCCCCGGCUCAACCGGGGAAAGGCCUUGGAGACUGCAUGACUUGAGUGAGCGAGGGGAGGGCGGAAUUCCUGGUGUAGCGGUGAAAUGCGUAGAUAUCACGAGGAACACCAGAGGUGUAGACGGGUCACUGGACGGGUACUGACGCUGAGGCACGAAAGCGUGGGGAGCAAACAGGAUUAGAUACCCUGGUAGUCCACGCCGUAAACGAUGGAUGCUCGGUGUUGCCCCGCCUUUAGGGGCAGUGCCUAAGCUAACGCGUUAAGCAUCCCACCUGGGGAGUACGCUCGCAAGGCUGAAACUUAAAGGAAUUGACGGGG
RNAcentral lists this ribosomal RNA (414 nucleotides) under uncultured prokaryote. RNAcentral's name for it is "bacterial SSU rRNA". It matches the Rfam family "Bacterial small subunit ribosomal RNA", at positions 505 to 918 of the family's 1533-position model. The record is from RNAcentral.